CAGCAGCAGCCGCGGUAAUCCGUAGGUCCCGAGCGUUGUCCGGAUUUAUUGGGCGUAAAGCGAGCGCAGGCGGUUAGAUAAGUCUGAAGUUAAAGGCUGUGGCUUAACCAUAGUACGCUUUGGAAACUGUUUAACUUGAGUGCAAGAGGGGAGAGUGGAAUUCCUUGUGUAGCGGUGAAAUGCGUAGAUAUAUGGAGGAACACCGGUGGCGAAAGCGGCUCUCUGGCUUGUAACUGACGCUGAGGCUCGAAAGCGUGGGGCGCAAACAGGAUUAGAUACCCGAGUAGUCCCUGUCUCUUAUACA
This 304-nucleotide ribosomal RNA is filed under the name uncultured bacterium. RNAcentral's name for it is "partial 16S ribosomal RNA". It matches the Rfam family "Bacterial small subunit ribosomal RNA", at positions 506 to 808 of the family's 1533-position model. The record is from RNAcentral.